UUUUGACCCGAUAUUCCCCAGCCACCCUCACCCCUCGGCCGAGCGGGGGGGGGGGGUCCCAGGCGCGGACCCCGGAGGUCCCUCCCCUUCUGCUAGGCCACUAACUGGCGAGGGCGAGCCGAGCGGAGAAUGGGUUAAAUCCUGGGACGCAGGGGCGAGGCAGGGGAGGAGAGAAGUCGGGGGCAGAUAAAGAAAAGGACAGGAACCCAGAAGCGUGGGGGUGGUUUGCCGUAAUGCGAGCGUUUCUUAAUUAGAGCGCGGCUGACAAUGGAGGGGCUGGCAGAGGCUCCUGGCCGCGGAGCGGAGCGUCUGGAGCGGAGCACGCGCUGUCAGCUGGUCAAAAAAGAAUGCGAGGAAGUUUCCUGCAGCAUUCCCAGGUGAAUCUGAUGCAAGUGGAGCUGAGGACAACACUAUGAAAAGCACUGACCUCCCGGAGUAGCUGGUAGACCUCUUCUUGAGAUGGUCUAUGGAAAUGGACACUGCCUAGGAAUCCCCUUUUGCCUUCUUUUAUGUCAUUCAGUCAUUUUUCCAAGAAGAGAGCAGCAGACACCAUAGCUUCCUGGAUACCACGAACCUGACAUGGUUGCUUUCAGCCUAUGGGACCUGGGACAAUAUGCUCCAGACCUGAGGUUUUCAACUCUAAAGUGACACCAGCUGUCUCUGGAGGCACAAGGGCAUCAGUCCAAGAGGUACAACGUCUUUGCCCCCUGGCUUGGUGAGAGAAGUCAAGUCAUAACCACUGAAUGCUUGUGAAAGGCAGACAAAAAUUUGGGACAAGAAUUUUCUCAGGCUACACAAACUCUAAAAGAAAUAGGGGGACAGAGUCAGACUGUCAUGACGACUUUAGUUUAAGGUUGGUAAUGAAGCCACAUCACUCUGCAAUAACUCAGCAUGAAUUUAAGGGCCCUUGACUUUGAUGGAAGGGUGGCUACCUAUAACCUAACUGAAAAAGGAUACAGAGAAAAGCAAUUUUAUGAUUUAGAAGGUAAUCACCUCGUGAAAGAGAUUUCUUCUCUUUGUAGUUUUAGGUUUGCCAUCAAAUGAUUUCAUCCAUAAUUCCAAGGGUACUGUGUUCAUAGCCUUCAUUCUCAGAAACAGUAGAGAUUCUGAGUGGCUUGAAACUCUCAGUGCUAAUCUUCAAUCACAAUUCCAGUCUCUUCUUUUUGAACUCAAAGGAUACCUUUAUUUUGAUUCCUAUGAAAUUGUUAGUGAGUCUAGUUACACAGUCAUGCUAGAAGACACGAGGCUCUGAAAGAGAUUAAAUGGCCCGCCAAAGGUAACACAGCCUCAGUACCACAGAGUCCAUGACCUCAGGUCUUUCUGAGUCUAGGAUCAGAGUUCUUUCCACCACAUUUCACCUGCCUUGUGUACAUAUUUUCAGCUAGUCAUCUUACACCUGUGCCUCCUACUCUUGGUCAGACUUGCUGGUGAUGGCGAUAGAGGCUCCUAACAUCUUCUGUUUUAUGUUGGCUCCAGAGAAAGCUAAUUCUUUGAAGGUGGCCAUGAAUCCGGCUCCAAUCCUAAGUGAUAGAUUUAAGAGAUAACUGAAUAGAAUAAUUUUCAUUUUGAGUAUCAUCUUUGCUCCUCUGAUGCAACAGAUACUGGACAUGAGUGCUCUUAUUCUGUAUUGAAAUUCAUUUCUGCUCUCAUGUGGAAAAAAAAUCCCUUCAAAUACUAAAUGCAUAUGUAGGUUAGGGAAUGAAACAAAAGAGGGUUAUAUGAAAGUCUGUCCUAAAGAGUAAUGGCCCCAAAGCAGAUCAUUUCCCAAAACUGUCACUCUAUCUAUGCUUGUAAGGUUGGUAAGAAAAUGGGUCUAUAAUUUUUAUGUUUCUCUUGGAGGUGAAGUAAAUUAACCUGCUACAUUUGUAUCUGUGGAUUCAUUCAGCGAUAACAUACAUUUUUUUAUUCACCUGGUCAUCUGGGCUAUUGGCUUUUUUUCCCAUAAAUCUCCCUCCAAAUAAACAUUUACCCCUGCCUGGCUGGUUCAGUUUCUGAAAAAUAUCUGUUUUGAAAAGUUCUCUUCUCUACCUAUCAGAAAUCAUUACUCCAUUUUAUAUUAUUUCUAUUCUUUAGUUUAAGGCAAUCUCUUCUCUAUGCUUGUGACUUAGAUGCUUUCAUAACUGCCCCCCCCCACCCUUGCCACCGAGGAGUGAAGUGGGGAGUAGGGGGUAUUUGAAAGGUAGAAAAAUGUUUCUAAGCAAGAAAGGAAAGUUUGCAAGCAGUUACAAAGGCCAUAAUUUAGGACCAAGAAGUAAACUUUGUACUUGCUGUCAUUCUAGAUAGUUCCCCAUGGGCCUCGUAUCCCUCAUUGCUCCUUCCCACCUGUAUCCCUGGUGGGAGAUUCUGAUGCCUAAGCAUUUAGUUCAGAGCCCUUUUUGCCAAGACCUAAACCCACAUUGCCUCCUAACAUGUCCCGCAUUGUGGUGCCACAUGACCCACCUGGCCACCGCCCCCCCCCCAACUCUUUUGGACUGUCUACAUGACUCCUCUUUCCAGAAAGGGAGUUCAAAGCUGUGACAAAGCAUCUUUUCUAUUUAAUCUUACUCUGAAAACAACCCUAAAGAGUUUACUGUAGGCCAGGAGGCUACUUUCCCAAUGUUCUGUUGUAUGUGUUUUUCCUGUCCCUCCCUUGCUUCCAUUUUGCUGCCAACAAAGAGAGGUGUGACCUACUCAAACCAAGGACAUUGGCUUUGCGUCAAUGUUUUCUCCUAUGUCCAAGGACUGGAGGGUGGGGCAAAGGGGCAUAGUUGCUCAGCCCAAGACUAUAUUAAUGAGGCACCCCAAGGCUUAUCUGGGGCUAUAGAAGGGGGCGGGUAAUUUAGAUGACACAUUUGGGGAAUUCUCUGGAGCACUUUCCCAAAUGCAGGGCAUUUUACAGGUAGGGGUGCCUCUUGGUGGACCCCUCUCCAUCUGAACAUUCUUGGGAAAUACAGAAAAUCAUUCAUCUAGUGAACUAGGUCUUGUCCUCAAAAUUCUGCUUUCACCUCUGAGCUUACCUCUUCUGGGUGCCUCCCCAAUCCUCCAAGGUCAUAGUGAGAGGAACAGUGAAGAUUCACCCAUUUUCUUUUCUCCUGGGACCUCAAACGAGGCUCUACAUAUUCCACUGAAAUCGCUAAUUUAUUUUUAAAGGGCCAAUCCUUUGAGGGUAGGAACCCAUAUCUUCUCUGACUUUGCCACUGUCCCAGGGGUAGACGGAUCAUGCUGGUGAAGGAGAGGAGUGAGACUCAUGGUCACCCAGGCCACUGAGUACUCUGCCAGAGGCCCUUGUCUCACUUUCUCUUUAAACUAGAUAGUCUCAAUAAAUUGAUUACAGCCAGCACGAGAACCUUUCUCUGUCUUGAAAAUUCCUACAAGGCCUUUCUAACAGGUUCUUUGAACUCUUCUCUGACUUGUUUUCCUAAGCUCUGGGCUCCCUAGGCUGAGGUAAGUACUCCCACCUCUGUGUUCCCAUGGUGAUGGUCCUUUGAACAAGUGACACUAUUUGAAAAUCGCUUUUCCGUGAGCCCUCCCUGAGCUCCUUGUAUCGAGCUCAGACGCCCACAGAAUGCUUCUCCAAGAUUUAUCUGGCCGGAUCAAUGCCCGGAGGCCAGUGUUGGAAAGCUGCUUUUGAUGCCGAGGCCACGCAGUGGUGACCUGAGGACGCGUGGCUGCGCUCGGACCACCACCACGCGAUGCCCUGAUGGCGGACGAGCCAGGUCAGCCUCUCCCUUCACUUCCCCUCGCUAUGUUACCUGCGUUUUCUAGAGGGUUCUUCCCUUCCGCGCAUCAUCUUCCCUUCCUUUUCAUGAGCUCUCAGGGUCUCUCCAUUCAUUCUCUUCUUUGAGUUGCCACGUCCCUAACACUCCCCCCAGUCCUUAAGUCAUCCCUCGGUUCCUUUCCCACUUUUUUUCUUCCCCACGCCCCCUGGAUCUUUGGUUCCCAGCACUGAUCCCUCUUAGCUAGUGAUUUUACUUCGUGUCUCCGCUCCCUUGCCAACCCUAACUCAUCGCUCUCCAUUUCUAGGAUUUUCCCUCUUUGCCUCUCGGCUUCCAAGGUCAAGGCAAUACCUGAACAGCCACUUCGCUGCAAGAGCAAGACUGCACCGCUUGCUUCCAGCGGCGGGGGGCAGGGGCAUCUUGCAAAGAUCAAAAAAUCUGCAGCGCCUCCUGUAGGAGCAGCUGCCGGCGUCAGCCCUGAACCCGGGCCGGUGAAGAGCAGAGGCGGGAGAAGGCAAUAAGAGAAAUUCUUCCAAAGAGUCUCUUCAAUCAAUGGGAAUAAUUUUAGUCCAUCGUGCUUAUAAACUGGUUUGCAGGAUAUUUUCCCAAAGAACAAUAGAGAAAAUGAAAUGAACCAUUCAGAACUGUGUCCUGAAGUUUACCAAGGUAAUUGAUCCUUUCAUUCACUGGGUCCUGAAUUUUUCAACAGUAAACUAGUUUCAUCUCUUAGUGAUGGUUUCACUAUUACAUGUUUCACAGACAGCAGAAGAUUUAAAUAAUUUCCAAAUGUAUCCCCUAAGUCAGAAAAGAAUGAAUGCAUAAGAUGUUUGGUUAAAAUAAUAAUACUUGUAGAAAUCAGAAGAGAGAAGGAGGGAGGGAGAGAGGAAAGAUGGGAAAGGGAGAGGGAGAGAUGGGAAAGAGAGAGAGAGGCGGAGUGAGAAAGAGAGAGAGAGGGAGCUACUGCAAAACUUGCAGAAGGGAUUUGCACCUGUACGACUUGAGGUUGCUUAAUGUCUGCUCAGCUCUAGAGGUAUUCAUCAGGACAGCUGGCAAAUAGGGGGUUAAUCAUUACAGAAAAUAAUGCAUCGUAUCUUUUCAGUUUGCUUUCUACCAAAGGGCAGUAAAAAUUUAUGCUUCAGGAAAAGGAUAAAACUGGUAUUUUCCGAGUGUGAUUGCCUCCUUUGAAAUUUCUCAGGAAACAUACACAUAGACUAUCUAUGUUACAGAACAUCCCUAACUCUCCCUAAAAGCUACAACUCUGAUUCUGGUAGAUGACCUUGAUCUUCUUAGGCUCUAUGAACACGCCUUGGGUUUCUGCAAAGUUCUAACACCUAAGGCUUGUAGGAAUAUUGAACUAUAGCAGCAUUUUUAAAAAGAGAAAAUUCUCUAGAUAGUUCAUUAAAUUAGGUAAUACUGUUGGCUAAAUUAGUUUACUUUCAAUGUUUAACAAAAAGAAUUUUAUCUUCCAAUAGUCCUAAGUACUGUGAAUUCCAUUUUAAUUUGCAUAACUUUAGCAAAUGCUUUUUUCCCCUCAUAGAGAUAAUGCUUAUUUCUUUCUUAUAUUUGUAGAAAAUUAAUUCAUGGAUACAAAAUAAAAUAGGUAUAUCUUAUUACUAUACAUCUCUCUGGUAUUGUGUUUUCCAAUUCCAGUAAAGCAAAGUUGAAAGAGCCUUCUGUCACCAGCUAGUUAUUAACAAAAACAGUAUUCAUUGCCAUUCUGGGUUGAGGCAGCAUCUGAAGCUGACUGCAGUUCGAUCCUGUGAUUAUUAACUCACUUCCCACCGGUAUCUUAUACAGGCCCAUUAUCUACUGUCAAUAUUUUUAUAGUCUAUGAGGAGAAGUCCUGCUUACUUCCUGUUAGAAGGGAGGUGACAGAGUUUUUUCUUCUUUUUUAAGUAGAUAAAUAUGUACUCUACAAAUAUGUUUGACUGAGGAGGUAAAAGGGAGGGAAAGGGGAGCCUCGCAUCUGCUGUCUCGCAGGCUCAUUGUGUGGUUAAUAAUUGCUCCAGAAUAGUUUUACAGGGUGUAGGCUUUCAGAAACAAGGAUUACUGAAAGAUCCAGGCUGAAAACCUUUUUCAGUUCGGUUCAUACACCAAAUCCUAGGUAGUAGUUAAGCUUUUUGUGGUUGAUGAUGGUUUUUUGUUUUUUUUUUUUAACAAUUUAGCUCAGUGUAAAGCAUUUUGUUUUCCUUACUUUAAGAAAUCUCUUAAAGUGUAUUUUUCUGAAAGAGAUGGACUGCUGUAUGGUUUUCCCAUCCAUAACGCCAAGUGUAUCAUGGAGCUUCACAACAUAAGACUAUCAUGGGGUAUAUUAUGACUACAAAGUUAUGUUGUCAAGGCUCUACCGUGUAUAAAUAAAUACUUUCUAAAAAGGUUUUCGUAAACAUACUCUUCAGUUCAAAGUAUGUACUUUAAAAAUGACAUUUACUCCGCCCUGUGUUCUGUAUUGCAUGGCUACUCUGAUCAAUUAAGUUAUUAGGCAAAUCACCACAGAUAGGGGAUAACAUGAAAUAUUGUGGUGAAUCAUGAUGUUUUUAAAGUUGAUUAGGACACGUACAUAAUAUUCAGCUUUGCAAAUGUUCAAGUUAAAAAUAUUUCUGUGAAAAUUAGACGAUUCUGUGUACGAGUUACAUCUUUUUAAAAGAGCAAUAGAUUUGAAGUUAAUAAAUUUAAUUUUCAUGACUAGUUUUUUCACUUAUUAAUUCUGUAUAUGUAGGGCAAAGCACUUCUCUCUCUGAAACUCAGUAUCUUUAUCUAUACAGAGGAAAGAACAAUUAAACCUGAGCUUCCUACCUCAGAAGUUGUUGUAAGAAUCAUAUAAAUCAUAUGUGAUAUAUUUAUAUAUGUAUAUUUAUAUAUACAUGCAUGUAUAUGUGAAUUAUAUAUUAUAUAUUUUAUAUUAAGAUAAUAGUAAAAUCAUAUAAGAUAACAUAUAUGUGACAGUCAGGUUAGGCCAGGUUAUGCUGUGGUAACAAACAAGACCAAAAUCUCAGUGACCCAAGCAACAAAAUAUUAUAUCCUGUUCAUGAUAUAAAACCAUAACAGGUCAGUUGGGGCUUAGCUUGUGAUCACUUAGGAACCCAGGAUGACACAGUAGCCAUCUCAUCUCAUCUCAAACAUUGCUAGUAACCAGAUGCAGAAGAAAAGAAGGGUCUGGAGGCAAUUAUAUCCUCUGCUAGAAAUUGACACAUCACUUCUGCUCCUAAUUCAUUGGCCAGAACUAUUCGAAAGGCCCUCUCCAACCAGGGGAGAUCAGGAAGCACAAGCCUACCACGGAUGAGAACUGAGACUUUUUAAAGAAUAGCUCUAACUACCACCACACUUUGUGGGGGCAAACUAUAAAAAGUGCUUUAGAGGUGGUAAAAAUUAUUUAUGAAAGAUUGGGGAUUUGUGGGAAUUAGGGCUAACAUGAAGUCAUCUAAGUCAGUACCCUUUUGUGAUUUAACUCAUUAAAUGGUAUGGAUGUAUUUCCAUGGGAGUUAGAGAAACCAUUGACCUAGAGCUUCCUGAGAUGAAGCUUGACAUUUUACUUGACUUCAAGCCAGAUCACAGUUUUCCUAAUACAUAGGUCCUUCGGCAUUCACUGAGAGAUCUAAUUUUUUUAAAAAAAUAGAUAUUGAUGCAACAAUAAAAUUUCUUUCUGUGCUUUUUGAAGGAGCAAAAAUACUGAUAAGUAAUUGCUAUAAAUAUCAUGUAUGCAUAAGUCAAUCAUCUUCAAAAUUAAAUAGCAGUCAGAUAUAUGGAAGUAAGAUAGAGCCAAUUUCAGUUAGUAAUAUAAAGUGGAAUGAAUAUACUAAAGUGCCAUAACCUCUCCUUUGGGAGUAUUUUUCAUUGUGAAAUAUGUCUCAAUUUGCAAUUCAGGUGGACUUCUUAAAAAAUUCUAUUGAAGUAUAGUUGAUUUACAGUGUUAUUUCUGCUGUACAGCAAAGUGAUUCAGUUAUGCCAAUACCCAUUUCCACAUAGGUUAUCACAGAAUAUUGAAUAGAUUUGCUUGUACCAUAUAGCAGGCCCCCAUUAAUCAUCCACCAUUCCAUAUACAAUAGUGUGCAUAUGCCAAUCCAAGCUCCAAUCCAUUCUUCCCUCUCUCCUUUCCCCUUUCAUCAUUUUUAAAGAUUCCACAUAUAGGUCAUGUCAUAUGAUAUU
This is a non-coding RNA of Sus scrofa (pig), 7838 nucleotides long. NCBI's taxonomy places the organism in Eukaryota, Metazoa, Chordata, Mammalia, Artiodactyla, Suidae. The record is from RefSeq and is a predicted model, not a curated record.